RNAcentral lists this ribosomal RNA (446 nucleotides) under uncultured bacterium. RNAcentral describes it as "partial 16S ribosomal RNA". It matches the Rfam family "Bacterial small subunit ribosomal RNA", at positions 338 to 795 of the family's 1533-position model. The record is from RNAcentral.
CCUACGGGUGGCAGCAGUCGAGAAUCAUUCACAAUGGGGGAAACCCUGAUCGUGCGACGCCGCGUGGGGGAAUGAAGGUCUUCGGAUUGUAAACCCCUGUCAUGUGGGAGCAAAUUAAAAAGAUAGUACCACAAGAGGAAGAGCCGGCUAACUCUGUGCCAGCAGCCGCGGUAAUACAGAGGUCGCAAGCGUUGUUCGUAAUCACUGGGUGUAAAGCGUGCGUAGGCUGUUUAGUAAGUCGUGUGUGAAAGGCGCGGGCUCAACCCGCGGACGGCAUAUGAUACUGAGAGACUAGAGUAAGGGAGGGGGAAGCGGAAUUCUCGGUGUAGCAGUGAAAUGCGUAGAUAUCGAGAGGAACACGAGUGGCGAAGGCGGGUUCCUGGACAUUAACUGACGCUGAGGCACGAAGGCGAGGGGAGCGAAAGGGAUUAGAUACCCGAGUAGUC